UCUAGUAAGUUAAGCUUGAUAGAUUCUUGAUUUAUGCAGAAUGGGAAGAGAAUUUCCCACUGUCCUUAAUUUCAUAAAGCUUUUGUGAAUGCAUGUUCUGACCAUGUCCCGAUUGGGGCGCGAACUGAUUGCUUUGUAAAUACAUGCAGAUUUACUGGGGCUGCAGCUUUGAAAUAAUAUCCUUCUUUCAUCAUUUUUGGUGUUAAGAAGCAUGCUUGAAUCUUGCAGCUCAAUUGUUGGUA
Molecule: long non-coding RNA, 242 nt
Filed under: Phoenix dactylifera (date palm)
Lineage: Eukaryota; Viridiplantae; Streptophyta; Magnoliopsida; Arecales; Arecaceae
Description: long non-coding RNA (PDAC_LNC002802)
Source: RNAcentral